GACGAACGCUGGCGGCGUGCCUAAUACAUGCAAGUAGAACGCUGAAGGAGGAGCUUGCUUCUCUGGAUGAGUUGCGAACGGGUGAGUAACGCGUAGGUAACCUGCCUGGUAGCGGGGGAUAACUAUUGGAAACGAUAGCUAAUACCGCAUAAGAGUAGGUGUUGCAUGACAUUUACUUAAAAGGUGCAAUUGCAUCACUACCAGAUGGACCUGCGUUGUAUUAGCUAGUUGGUGAGGUAACGGCUCACCAAGGCAACGAUACAUAGCCGACCUGAGAGGGUGAUCGGCCACCCUGGGACUGAGACACGGCCCAGACUCCUACGGGAGGCAGCAGUAGGGAAUCUUCGGCAAUAGACGGAAGUCUGACCGAGCAACGCCGCGUGAGUGAAGAAGGUUUUCGGAUCGUAAAGCUCUGUUGUAAGAGAAGAACGAGUGUGAGAGUGGAAAGUUCACACUGUGACGGUAUCUUACCAGAAAGGGACGGCUAACUACGUG
Molecule: ribosomal RNA, 495 nt
Filed under: uncultured bacterium
Lineage: Bacteria
Description: partial 16S ribosomal RNA
Rfam family: Bacterial small subunit ribosomal RNA
Source: RNAcentral